CUUUUUUGUUUUAAAACAAGUAAAACCUGGUUAUUAAGUCUGCCUCAGUGAUUAAACCUUGCAUUUGUGCUCUCAUUUUCACAGUCAGAAGAGACAGUCUUUUGUUAUGAAUAAAAUCAGAAGCUUAAUUUUUACUGUUGUAAACAGCUGCUCAGUAUACAAAUGGAAAGUGGUACUUAUCGCUAAAGCCAUCUGAAUGGUUCUUUUAGAGAAUUCUAGGGAGAUCCUGCCACCAUCACUUGCACACAGAACUGGAAAUAUAAAUGAAAAGACCACAAAGUUAGAAAUUAAUCAAUGUGUAUACAGUUGUAAAAGACCAUGUUUCUCUGAAUUCUAACAAUGUUUAAAAGAAACCUAACAUACACCUUAAAAUAAAUGGCUUUUACCACAUUUGCUGGGAUGUAGCUUUCGAAGAGUUGACAAGUCUGUUGAGAAAGAAGAUGAGAAGCUACAUCCAAAGCUUAGGUCAGGGUAAGCCACUCUUAACCUUUUUUAACCUAAGGCUCUUCUCUGCCAAAUAGUGAUUAUACUGCAUGGUAUUACCAAAGGGAAUAAUUUAGGCCAAGUACAUAGCAGAUAUACAGUUAAUGUAAUGGAUUAAGUCUCAGUGUAUGGGUGUAAUUCUUGUUUUACAAAUGCUACAGCUGUUACUGUAUGACAGGGAUUGUUAUUUUGGGGGGUACUUCUGGCUUGUCUAACACAGGGAAAUGUUCACUGGGGAGGAAAGUAGCGUCUAGAGCGUAAUGGGAUGAGCAUAGGAGAUGGUGUCUGCCAGGUUAGAAGGUCACAUAUGGUCGUUGUUGACACGAUGCCUUCAGUUCAAAGAUCAGCUGGGGGCUCAGAAGCAAAGUAGCCAGAAAGGAGGUGAAUUCUUUGAACACCUGGUAUGGGUAAGAGGUUUCAUGUUUUAUUUUUUCAUGUAGCCUUUACACAACCUGAGAUUAGUAUUACUGUCAUUUCUAAGCUGGGAUUCAAAACACGUUUUUUCACCUCAAAAUUCUUGCCAGUACAUACAUAAUUUUUGCCAAUUAAUGAUUAUGGUUAUCUUAUAAUAUUACAUAAUAGUAUUUAUUAUAUAAUGUUCUCAGAUUGGAUGCAGAGGAUCAGAUUUGUUAGUUUGGUUUUAUUUAAAUUUUUUCCCAUGUCAACUCUGCUACAAAGGAAUCCACUAUAAUGAACUGUGUCCAUCCUGCACUAACUUGGGACUUUCACCAUGCCUUCCUUCUAUGUGCUAUAGUAAGGCUGAAGUCUAAGUUUCUCAAUAUAACUCACUUGCCUUUGGGCCUUUGUAUAAGGAGCCCCCCCCCCAAAUAUCCUGUGACACUUUACCAUUAAGCUCGGAUAUCAAUUACAAAAAGCUUUUCUAGACUCUCUCCCAGGCCCCUUCCACUAAGGUACAGGGAUAGGUCCCUUGAUAGGGGCUUGCAUUGCACCUUCUACUUCCUCCCUAACGAUUAUCACUGUGUUGUAAUUCCUGAAUUGUUUUCCCACUCCCAGAUUAAAUUUGCAAGAAUCUGGAGAUUUGUCUGUCUAAUUAAUUAUUGUAUCCCUGUGCCUGGUGUGUCAAAAGAGUUUAAUAAAUAUUUCUUGAUGGAAUGCUGAGUGAAUAAUUGGAUUAUGAAUAAAAAACAGGAAAUGAAACUUAGAAGAGGGGUGGAGACUGCUUCAUUGGCUAUUCUUUACCUGAAGGUUCUUCCCAGAAUAAAAGUUUGGAGGUUUUUUUGUAAUUACUUUUUACAGUGUCAUCUCCAUUAACUG
This 1758-nucleotide long non-coding RNA is filed under the name Marmota monax (woodchuck). The record is from RNAcentral. Lineage: Eukaryota; Metazoa; Chordata; Mammalia; Rodentia; Sciuridae.